RNAcentral lists this long non-coding RNA (272 nucleotides) under Brassica rapa (field mustard). RNAcentral's name for it is "long non-coding RNA (BRAP_LNC007698)". Lineage: Eukaryota; Viridiplantae; Streptophyta; Magnoliopsida; Brassicales; Brassicaceae. The record is from RNAcentral.
UACAAUGCCCUGCUACGGUAGCUCCUGAUGUUCUGCUACAGUGUCGAUCGAUUUUCUUGCUACAGUGUCGAUCGAUGCUACAGUGCGGUUGCUACAGUACCGUCGUUACUGUUCAUCCGUUUUUUUUUCUUUUUUUUUUGGUUUCAUAAAAAUAAAACAAAAAUCACUAACAAUCUAACAUAAACUAAAUGAAAUUACCUAAUAGUGGGUUGCCUCCCACUCAGCGCUUUGUUAUAGUCAUUUAGCUUGACUUUGGACAUCUGAUUUAGUCC